Molecule: ribosomal RNA, 2902 nt
Filed under: mouse gut metagenome
Description: bacterial LSU rRNA
Rfam family: Bacterial large subunit ribosomal RNA
Source: RNAcentral
UUAAGCGACUAAGCGUACACGGUGGAUGCCCUGGCAGUCAGAGGCGAUGAAGGACGUGCUAAUCUGCGAUAAGCGUCGGUGAGGUGAUAUGAACCGUUAUAACCGGCGAUUUCCGAAUGGGGAAACCCAGUGUGUUUCGACACACUAUCAUUAACUGAAUCCAUAGGUUAAUGAGGCGAACCGGGGGAACUGAAACAUCUAAGUACCCCGAGGAAAAGAAAUCAACCGAGAUUCCCCCAGUAGCGGCGAGCGAACGGGGAGGAGCCCAGAGCCUGAAUCAGUGUGUGUGUUAGUGGAAGCGUCUGGAAAGGCGCGCGAUACAGGGUGACAGCCCCGUACACAAAAAUGCACAUAUUGUGAGCUCGAUGAGUAGGGCGGGACACGUGGUAUCCUGUCUGAAUAUGGGGGGACCAUCCUCCAAGGCUAAAUACUCCUGACUGACCGAUAGUGAACCAGUACCGUGAGGGAAAGGCGAAAAGAACCCCGGCGAGGGGAGUGAAAAAGAACCUGAAACCGUGUACGUACAAGCAGUGGGAGCCUCUUAAUGGGGUGACUGCGUACCUUUUGUAUAAUGGGUCAGCGACUUAUAUUCUGUAGCAAGGUUAACCGAAUAGGGGAGCCGAAGGGAAACCGAGUCUUAACUGGGCGUUAAGUUGCAGGGUAUAGACCCGAAACCCGGUGAUCUAGCCAUGGGCAGGUUGAAGGUUGGGUAACACUAACUGGAGGACCGAACCGACUAAUGUUGAAAAAUUAGCGGAUGACUUGUGGCUGGGGGUGAAAGGCCAAUCAAACCGGGAGAUAGCUGGUUCUCCCCGAAAGCUAUUUAGGUAGCGCCUCGUGAAUUCAUCUCCGGGGGUAGAGCACUGUUUCGGCAAGGGGGUCAUCCCGACUUACCAACCCGAUGCAAACUGCGAAUACCGGAGAAUGUUAUCACGGGAGACACACGGCGGGUGCUAACGUCCGUCGUGAAGAGGGAAACAACCCAGACCGCCAGCUAAGGUCCCAAAGUCAUGGUUAAGUGGGAAACGAUGUGGGAAGGCCCAGACAGCCAGGAUGUUGGCUUAGAAGCAGCCAUCAUUUAAAGAAAGCGUAAUAGCUCACUGGUCGAGUCGGCCUGCGCGGAAGAUGUAACGGGGCUAAACCAUGCACCGAAGCUGCGGCAGCGACACUAUGUGUUGUUGGGUAGGGGAGCGUUCUGUAAGCCUGUGAAGGUGGCCUGUGAGGGUUGCUGGAGGUAUCAGAAGUGCGAAUGCUGACAUAAGUAACGAUAAAGCGGGUGAAAAGCCCGCUCGCCGGAAGACCAAGGGUUCCUGUCCAACGUUAAUCGGGGCAGGGUGAGUCGACCCCUAAGGCGAGGCCGAAAGGCGUAGUCGAUGGGAAACAGGUUAAUAUUCCUGUACUUGGUGUUACUGCGAAGGGGGGACGGAGAAGGCUAUGUUGGCCGGGCGACGGUUGUCCCGGUUUAAGCGUGUAGGCUGGUUUUCCAGGCAAAUCCGGAAAACCAAGGCUGAGGCGUGAUGACGAGGCACUACGGUGCUGAAGCGACAAAUGCCCUGCUUCCAGGAAAAGCCUCUAAGCAUCAGGUAACAUCAAAUCGUACCCCAAACCGACACAGGUGGUCAGGUAGAGAAUACCAAGGCGCUUGAGAGAACUCGGGUGAAGGAACUAGGCAAAAUGGUGCCGUAACUUCGGGAGAAGGCACGCUGAUAUGUAGGUGAAGCGACUUGCUCGUGGAGCUGAAAUCAGUCGAAGAUACCAGCUGGCUGCAACUGUUUAUUAAAAACACAGCACUGUGCAAACACGAAAGUGGACGUAUACGGUGUGACGCCUGCCCGGUGCCGGAAGGUUAAUUGAUGGGGUUAGCGGUAACGCGAAGCUCUUGAUCGAAGCCCCGGUAAACGGCGGCCGUAACUAUAACGGUCCUAAGGUAGCGAAAUUCCUUGUCGGGUAAGUUCCGACCUGCACGAAUGGCGUAAUGAUGGCCAGGCUGUCUCCACCCGAGACUCAGUGAAAUUGAACUCGCUGUGAAGAUGCAGUGUACCCGCGGCAAGACGGAAAGACCCCGUGAACCUUUACUAUAGCUUGACACUGAACAUUGAGCCUUGAUGUGUAGGAUAGGUGGGAGGCUUUGAAGUGUGGACGCCAGUCUGCAUGGAGCCGACCUUGAAAUACCACCCUUUAAUGUUUGAUGUUCUAACGUGGGCCCGUAAUCCGGGUUGCGGACAGUGUCUGGUGGGUAGUUUGACUGGGGCGGUCUCCUCCUAAAGAGUAACGGAGGAGCACGAAGGUUGGCUAAUCCUGGUCGGACAUCAGGAGGUUAGUGCAAUGGCAUAAGCCAGCUUGACUGCGAGCGUGACGGCGCGAGCAGGUGCGAAAGCAGGUCAUAGUGAUCCGGUGGUUCUGAAUGGAAGGGCCAUCGCUCAACGGAUAAAAGGUACUCCGGGGAUAACAGGCUGAUACCGCCCAAGAGUUCAUAUCGACGGCGGUGUUUGGCACCUCGAUGUCGGCUCAUCACAUCCUGGGGCUGAAGUAGGUCCCAAGGGUAUGGCUGUUCGCCAUUUAAAGUGGUACGCGAGCUGGGUUUAGAACGUCGUGAGACAGUUCGGUCCCUAUCUGCCGUGGGCGCUGGAGAACUGAGGGGGGCUGCUCCUAGUACGAGAGGACCGGAGUGGACGCAUCACUGGUGUUCGGGUUGUCAUGCCAAUGGCACUGCCCGGUAGCUAAAUGCGGAAGAGAUAAGUGCUGAAAGCAUCUAAGCACGAAACUUGCCCCGAGAUGAGUUCUCCCUGAGACUUAGAGUCUCCUGAAGGAACGUUGAAGACGACGACGUUGAUAGGCCGGGUGUGUAAGCGCAGCGAUGCGUUGAGCUAACCGGUACUAAUGAACCGUGAGGCUUAACCUU